This 254-nucleotide ribosomal RNA is filed under the name uncultured bacterium. RNAcentral describes it as "partial 16S ribosomal RNA". It matches the Rfam family "Bacterial small subunit ribosomal RNA", at positions 524 to 776 of the family's 1533-position model. The record is from RNAcentral.
UACGUAGGGGGCAAGCGUUGUCCGGAUUUAUUGGGCGUAAAGAGCUCGUAGGCGGUUCAGUAAGUCGGGUGUGAAAACUCUGGGCUCAACCCAGAGACGCCACCCGAUACUGCUGUGACUUGAGUACGGUAGGGGAGUGGGGAAUUCCUGGUGUAGCGGUGAAAUGCGCAGAUAUCAGGAGGAACACCGGUGGCGAAGGCGGGUCUCUGGGCCGAUACUGACGCUGAGGAGCGAAAGCGUGGGGAGCGAACAGG